CCUACGGGAGGCAGCAGUGGGGGAUAUUGCACAAUGGGGGGAACCCUGAUGCAGCGACGCCGCGGGGGUGAAGGAGUGCUUCGGCAUGUAAAGCCCUAUCGGCAGGGAAGAAGCAAGACGGUACCUGACUAAGAAUCCCCGGCUAACUACGUGCCAGCAGCCGCGGUAAUACGUAGGGGGCGAGCGUUAUCCGGAUUCACUGGGUGGAAAGGGAGCGUAGACGGCCAAGCAAGCCAGGGGUGAAAGCCCGGGGCCCAACCCCGGGACUGCCCUUGGAACUGCAUGGCUGGAGUGCGGGAGGGGCAGGCAGAAUUCCGGGUGUAGCGGUGAAAUGCGUAGAUAUCAGGAGGAACACCGGCGGCGAAGGCGGCCUGCUGGACCGCGACUGACGUUGAGGCUCGAAAGCGUGGGGAGCGAACAGGAUUAGAUACCCGGGUAGUC
RNAcentral lists this ribosomal RNA (441 nucleotides) under uncultured bacterium. RNAcentral's name for it is "partial 16S ribosomal RNA". It matches the Rfam family "Bacterial small subunit ribosomal RNA", at positions 338 to 795 of the family's 1533-position model. The record is from RNAcentral.